GAAAACAAACUUUAGUUUGGGAGAGAGAGACUCGAAUCUGCUUUCUCCUUUGUUGUUCCACUUGUCCCACGUACACAUAUUCUUCUUCUUCGACCUUUUCCUCGUAUUCAUUUGCCACGAUCAACACCCCAUCCACCCACCUUUAUUCUCUUACUCUCUCUCCCUCUCUUGGCGUAUAUAAGAAUACAUCAUCACAGAGAGCUCGCUAGCUAGCUAAAAUUAUCAAGAUUUUGA
This 234-nucleotide long non-coding RNA is filed under the name Panax ginseng (ginseng). RNAcentral's name for it is "long non-coding RNA (PGIN_LNC012601)". The record is from RNAcentral. Lineage: Eukaryota; Viridiplantae; Streptophyta; Magnoliopsida; Apiales; Araliaceae.